This 465-nucleotide ribosomal RNA is filed under the name uncultured bacterium. RNAcentral describes it as "bacterial SSU rRNA". It matches the Rfam family "Bacterial small subunit ribosomal RNA", at positions 330 to 793 of the family's 1533-position model. The record is from RNAcentral.
UCCAGACUCCUACGGGAGGCAGCAGUGGGGAAUAUUGGGCAAUGGGCGCAAGCCUGAACCAGCCAAGUCGCGUGAGGGAUGACGGCCCUACGGGUUGUAAACCUCUUUUGCCGGGGAGCAACGAGCGGGACGCGUCCCGCCUCGAGAGUACCCGGAGAAAAAGCAUCGGCUAACUCCGUGCCAGCAGCCGCGGUAAUACGGAGGAUGCGAGCGUUAUCCGGAUUUAUUGGGUUUAAAGGGUGCGUAGGCGGGUAGUCAAGUCAGCGGUGAAAGGCCGGGGCUCACCCCCGGCCUGCCGUUGAAACUGGCGGCCUCGAGUGGGCGAGAAGUAUGCGGAAUGCGUGGUGUAGCGGUGAAAUGCAUAGAUAUCACGCAGAACUCCGAUUGCGAAGGCAGCAUACCGGCGCCCUACUGACGCUGAGGCACGAAAGCGUGGGUAUCGAACAGGAUUAGAUACCCGCGUAC